CCCUUAGAUGUCCUGGGCCGCACGCGCGCUACACUGAUGCAUGCAACGAGUUUAUAACCUUGGCCUGAAAGGUCUGGGUAAUCUUUUGAACGUGCAUCGUGAUAGGGAUAGAUUAUUGCAAUUGUUAAUCUUGAACGAGGAAUUCCUAGUAAACGCGAGUCAUCAGCUCGCAUUGAUUACGUCCCUGCCCUUUGUACACACCGCCCGUCGCACCUACCGAUUGAAUGGUCCGGUGAAGCCUCGGGAUUGUGGUUCUUGCCGCUUUAUUGUGGCGUGACCGCGAGAACUUGUCUAAACCUUAUCAUCUAGAGGAAGGUGAAGUCGUAACA
This 329-nucleotide ribosomal RNA is filed under the name uncultured eukaryote. RNAcentral describes it as "partial 18S ribosomal RNA". It matches the Rfam family "Eukaryotic small subunit ribosomal RNA", at positions 1470 to 1796 of the family's 1831-position model. The record is from RNAcentral.